CAGAGCCAAAGGAUCUGAUUACCCUUGGAUUGUUUUAGAAUCUCUCUCUCUUUCUCUCUCACAGCUAGCAGAAAUGUCUCUUGCUGCACUUACCUCAUUCCAGCAUUGAAAAAGCCUAUUCUUUUGACAAAUAUAUACAAGCAAAGAGCUAAUGGGGUAGCUCCAUCUAUUUGAAGAAACGUUUAAAUUCUUCUGUAAUUGAUUCCUAAUUUGCUUGGUAUGUGUACAUUUUACACCUUUUCCUUGACAAGUAAGCCAAGAUUGUGUGGUGGUUUUCAUCGUGGCCUGAAGUGUAGAAGAGAAGGAGAAUGAGGAAGAAAAUAUUUUUCAGAUUUUACAGAGAGAAGGACUGAGAUUUUCAAUCUGUUGUGGAAUCCACUGGAAUAAGCGAAGUCACUCACGCCAGGCAGCUUCACUGAACGCAUUUUAUACUUUAGGUUUCUGACACAAUCUCAGAGCAAAGAGGAACCUCUCCAAGGACCUAACCAGAUGCAAGCCUGAUUCAUCUCCAUAUCUGCCUUCUCCAGAGACACUACUAUCAAGAAUCUGGUAUGUUUUCUUUCAGACUGCAUUUUCAUACCUUUGUUACAAUAUAUAUGCAGUCAAAACAAUAACUAUGCUUUGCAUAUUUUGAAUUUUACCUAAUACUAUCAUAUUGUUC
RNAcentral lists this long non-coding RNA (661 nucleotides) under Mustela putorius furo (domestic ferret). Its description in RNAcentral is "lncRNA (ENSMPUG00000024346.1)". Lineage: Eukaryota; Metazoa; Chordata; Mammalia; Carnivora; Mustelidae. The record is from RNAcentral.